UACGAAGGGGGCUAGCGUUGCUCGGAAUUACUGGGCGUAAAGCGUGCGCAGGCGGUUUUGUAAGCCAGAUGUGAAAUCCCCGGGCUUAACCUGGGAAUGGCAUUUGGGACUGCAAGGCUUGAGUGCGGCAGAGGAGACUGGAAUUCCUGGUGUAGCAGUGAAAUGCGUAGAUAUCAGGAGGAACACCGAUGGCGAAGGCAGGUCUCUGGGCUGACACUGACGCUCAUGCACGAAAGCGUGGGGAGCAAACAGG
This 253-nucleotide ribosomal RNA is filed under the name uncultured bacterium. Its description in RNAcentral is "partial 16S ribosomal RNA". It matches the Rfam family "Bacterial small subunit ribosomal RNA", at positions 524 to 776 of the family's 1533-position model. The record is from RNAcentral.